This 568-nucleotide ribosomal RNA is filed under the name Trichoderma gamsii. RNAcentral describes it as "eukaryotic LSU rRNA". The stretch from base 189 to 342 matches the Rfam family "5.8S ribosomal RNA". The record is from RNAcentral. Lineage: Eukaryota; Fungi; Ascomycota; Sordariomycetes; Hypocreales; Hypocreaceae.
GGGGUAACGAGUUUCACUCCCAACCCAAUGUGAACCAUACCAAACUGUUGCCUCGGCGGGGUCACGCCCCGGGUGCGUCGCAGCCCCGGAACCAGGCGCCCGCCGGAGGGACCAACCAAACUCUUUUCUGUAGUCCCCUCGCGGACGUUAUUUCUUACAGCUCUGAGCAAAAAUUCAAAAUGAAUCAAAACUUUCAACAACGGAUCUCUUGGUUCUGGCAUCGAUGAAGAACGCAGCGAAAUGCGAUAAGUAAUGUGAAUUGCAGAAUUCAGUGAAUCAUCGAAUCUUUGAACGCACAUUGCGCCCGCCAGUAUUCUGGCGGGCAUGCCUGUCCGAGCGUCAUUUCAACCCUCGAACCCCUCCGGGGGGUCGGCGUUGGGGAUCGGGAACCCCUAAGACGGGAUCCCGGCCCCGAAAUACAGUGGCGGUCUCGCCGCAGCCUCUCCUGCGCAGUAGUUUGCACAACUCGCACCGGGAGCGCGGCGCGUCCACGUCCGUAAAACACCCAACUUCUGAAAUGUUGACCUCGGAUCAGGUAGGAAUACCCGCUGAACUUAAGCAUAUCAAA